CGUGACCUCAGGUCAGGCGGGGCUACCCGCUGAGUUUAAGCAUAUCAAUAAGCGGAGGAAAAGAAACUAACAAGGAUUCCCUUAGUAACGGC
This 92-nucleotide ribosomal RNA is filed under the name Eucalyptus x tetragona (white-leaved marlock). RNAcentral's name for it is "Eucalyptus tetragona (white-leaved marlock) partial 26S ribosomal RNA". It matches the Rfam family "Eukaryotic large subunit ribosomal RNA", at positions 1 to 90 of the family's 3401-position model. Lineage: Eukaryota; Viridiplantae; Streptophyta; Magnoliopsida; Myrtales; Myrtaceae. The record is from RNAcentral.